This 253-nucleotide ribosomal RNA is filed under the name uncultured bacterium. RNAcentral describes it as "partial 16S ribosomal RNA". It matches the Rfam family "Bacterial small subunit ribosomal RNA", at positions 524 to 776 of the family's 1533-position model. The record is from RNAcentral.
UACGGAGGGGGCUAGCGUUGUUCGGAAUUACUGGGCGUAAAGCGCACGUAGGCGGCUUUGUAAGUUAGAGGUGAAAGCCCGGGGCUCAACUCCGGAAUUGCCUUUAAGACUGCAUCGCUAGAAUUGUGGAGAGGUAAGUGGAAUUCCGAGUGUAGAGGUGAAAUUCGUAGAUAUCUGGAGGAACACCGGUGGCGAAGGCGGCAUCCUGGACCGGCAUUGACGCUGAGGCGCGAAAGCCAGGGGAGCAAACGGG